Molecule: long non-coding RNA, 470 nt
Filed under: Physcomitrium patens
Lineage: Eukaryota; Viridiplantae; Streptophyta; Bryopsida; Funariales; Funariaceae
Description: long non-coding RNA (PPAT_LNC010367)
Source: RNAcentral
UGGUGACAAUAUCAAGAAUUAUAGUAGUGUUAACAAUCCCAUUUCAACAAUUGAUUGCACACACAUGUACAAGGCACAAUCUUUCUUUCACACCCUUGAAAAGCCAAGUUUUUGAUUAGAAACAUGCAAUUCUAAAUCCAGCAUUCUAUCAAUAUAAUGUGGCUUAGUAGUAUAUCUGUAACAUUAAUCCACAGAGUUUGUCCAUUUGUGGUUUAGAAAAACUGAUUUCAGAUGGACAGUGGUGUUGAGCUUUGGGCUCACAUGACCCCUAUUGGCAAACCAGGUUGUGGGUGAAUAUGAUUUUAGGGUUGUCAUCUGUGGAGUCAAGGUUAGGGUAGAUGGUUUUGCAGCCCCCUCCCUCCAAGCUCAAUGUUUGUGUGUGUACUUCUUUCUUUCUUUAUUUUAUAUUUUAUAAAGUUGCAUUAGCUACACACAGUAGAGAAAGUGGCAUUGAAGUGUUGUGUACACAA